AUGAACGCUGGCGGCGUGCCUAAUACAUGCAAGUCGAGCGAACAGAUGAGGAGCUUGCUCCUCUGACGUUAGCGGCGGACGGGUGAGUAACACGUGGAUAACCUACCUAUAAGACUGGGAUAACUUCGGGAAACCGGAGCUAAUACCGGAUAAUAUAUUGAACCGCAUGGUUCAAUAGUGAAAGACGGUUUUGCUGUCACUUAUAGAUGGAUCCGCGCCGCAUUAGCUAGUUGGGAAGGUAACGGCUUACCAAGGCAACGAUGCGUAGCCGACCUGAGAGGGUGAUCGGCCACACUGGAACUGAGACACGGUCCAGACUCCUACGGGAGGCAGCAGUAGGGAAUCUUCCGCAAAGGGCGAAAGCCUGACGGAGCAACGCCGCGUGAGUGAUGAAGGUCUUCGGAUCGUAAAACUCUGUUAUUAGGGAAGAACAAAUGUGUAAGUAACUAUGCACGUCUUGACGGUACCUAAUCAGAAAGCCACGGCUAACUACGUG
Molecule: ribosomal RNA, 496 nt
Filed under: uncultured bacterium
Lineage: Bacteria
Description: partial 16S ribosomal RNA
Rfam family: Bacterial small subunit ribosomal RNA
Source: RNAcentral